GACGAACGCUUGCGACGUGCCUAAGAAAUGCAAGUCGAGCGAGGUAGCAAUACCUAGCGGCGAACGGUCGCGUAACACGUAAGCAACCUGCCCCAGAGACCGGGACAACGUUCCGAAAGGAGCGCUAAUACCGGAUGUGUCCAUGAGCUGACAUCGGCUUAUGAGUAAAUCGAGCAAUCGGCUCUGGGAGGGGCUUGCGGCCUAUCAGCUAGAUGGUGGGGUAACGGCCUACCAUGGCGACGACGGGUAGCUGGUCUGAGAGGAUGGUCAGCCGGAU
Molecule: ribosomal RNA, 277 nt
Filed under: uncultured bacterium
Lineage: Bacteria
Description: partial 16S ribosomal RNA
Rfam family: Bacterial small subunit ribosomal RNA
Source: RNAcentral